CAGCAGCCGCGGUAAUACGAAGGGUGCAAGCGUUAAUCGGAAUUACUGGGCGUAAAGCGUGCGUAGGCGGUGAGGUAAGUCUGCUGUGAAAUCCCCGGGCUCAACCUGGGAAUGGCAGUGGAUACUGGCUCGCUAGAGUGUGUCAGAGGAUGGUGGAAUUCCCGGUGUAGCGGUGAAAUGCGUAGAGAUCGGGAGGAACAUCAGUGGCGAAGGCAGCCAUCUGGGACAACACUUACGCUGAGGCACGAAAGCGUGGGGAGCAAACAGGAUUAGAUACCCGCGUAGUCCCUGUCUCUUAUAA
This 301-nucleotide ribosomal RNA is filed under the name uncultured bacterium. RNAcentral's name for it is "partial 16S ribosomal RNA". It matches the Rfam family "Bacterial small subunit ribosomal RNA", at positions 509 to 809 of the family's 1533-position model. The record is from RNAcentral.